GGACCAAUGAUGACAAAUACCGGCGUAUGAGUCUUGGAUGAUGAAUAAUACGUGUCUGGAACUCUGAGGUCCAUCAGAAAAGAAAACCAGUUCUUUCUGCUCAUGUAUUUUCAUUCUGUUAUUAUAAUUGGAUCAAUAAAAGAAUGAAUCAACAAAUAUAUAACUAAAUAAAGAUGAUUCGUGUGAAGCAUUGUCCAAUUAUAAAAAUAGAUGGUGUGGCAAGAAGUAAUAUUAAUAUGUACUGGAAACUCUGAAGUCCAAAGAGAAAUAAAUGAAUGAACGCACUUGAGUUGAUUCAAGCACGCUUCCAUGGUCAUGAGCUCUGUGGUUGCAUCUGUGUGUUAGGAGCAUGCAGACCAAUAUGAAUCAGAAUGGAUGCAUCAAGUGGGCUUCUGCUUGAUGGAAACCUGUAUUGCUGUUGCGUUUGGAAAGAAACUAAUAGUGAUAAUCUCGAGGUGAUUUAUGCAUUCUUCCAUGGCCACCAGCCUUAUGAUUGCAUCUGUGCGUCACAGCUUAGAGAUCAAUAAUGGAUGCAACAAGCUCUUUGAAUCAUUCUGUUGGGAUCAAGAUUGUUGUGUUCCCUCUGUUUGGAAAGAGACCAAGAAUGGAUACGCUCAGGUGAUUUAAGCAGUCUUCCAUGGCCACGAGCUCUGUGGUUGCCUCUGUAUAUUAAGAGCACAGAGAUUAAAAAUGGGUGCACUUGAGCCGAUUGAAACAUUCCUCCUUGCAUCUUUCUUCUGUGAUUGCAUCUAUUUGUUAGUAGCAUAGAGACCAAUAUGGCUUGUGCUGAUGGAAGGAUUCCUCCCUGGUGACAUGCUGUGUCUGCCUCUUGAUUGGGAGCACGCAGACCUACAAUGAUGCACUUUUUAUGAUUUGAGAAUUCCUUCAUGGUCACGUGCUCUGUUUUUAUCAUGGUUGGGAGCCUGCAGAGCAAUAAGGGACAUGCCUUUGCUGAUUUGAGGAUUCCUCUGAGGUUGGGAGCUAAGUUUGCAUCAUGCUUAGAAAGGAGUGUGCAGACCUGUAAUGAUUGCACUUUGCUGAUUGAAGGAUUCCUUCAAGUCCAUGUGCUCCACUUGCACCAUUUUUAGGAUGGAGCCUGGAGACCUAUAAUGAACAACUUGUGCUGUGUUAAGGAUUCCUCCAUGAUCACGCGCCCCAUUUGUACACCAUGCUUGGGAAGGUGCAUGCAGACCAAUGUUAGUAAUAGUCAAAAUUCCUGUGUCGGUUUGUGUGGUUUGCUAAACAGGACUCAAUGUAUCAUGAAACAGUGUAUUAUAUAGUCAACUAUGGUCAACUAUGUCCCAGUGAUAUUUAUGAGAGGGAUCUGAAGUAUUUAUUGAUAAUGCAUAUAUGAAAAACGGAGAAGAAUUAAUGAAACAGAUAUAUCUGUGUUAGAAUGAUUCUGUAUAAAGAUAGGGAAUAUCAAGUCUGUUCUUAGUGUUUUGUGAAUCACAGAGUGUAAAAUUAUUCCCAGUGAAUUAAUGAAUAAAUUUAAAGACAACAUAGAAAUGAAUGCAGAAAAAGAGGGUCAACCCUGGAUCGAUGAUGAGCACUGGUGGAGUAUGAGUCACAUACGAUGAAUACGUGUCUGGAACUCUGAGGUCCAUCGCAGAAGUCAGUUUCCUCUGUUUCAACUAACUCUGUAGAUAGAUGACAAGAAUAGAGAAUGAAUUUUUUUUGUUUAUGAGUUUUUAUUUUAUAAUUGGUUCAAUGAAAGAAUAAAACAUAUAUGAAUAAAUAAAUAAGUUAUGCAUUGUCCAAUUAUAAAAAUGUGUGAUGAGGUGUAUUUAAUACGUAUUUAAAUUGAUGAAAGCCAAAAAUAAAUCUAACAUACCUAACCUUUUUGGCCAAUAAUGAAGAGAUAGUAUAAAUUAUAUGCUAUUUUCGUGUUCUUGGUUAGUGGCAAGUUCAAAGUUGUUCAUACUUCAAAUAACGAUUGCCUAAAUGUUUAACUACAGAUAGGUAAAAAGGAAAGAUCAACAAUGAGAAAAAUCACAUUUUUGUUAUUAUUUUCUCUGCUCUGCACUCAUCAGAAUGGACGUACUUGUGAUGAUUUAAAGAUGCCUCCAAGGUCACGUGCUCUGUUUGCACCAUGCUUAGGAAGGAGCGUACAGACCAAAAAUGGAUGAAUUGUGCACCUUGAAAAGUUCUUCCAUGGUCACCUGAGGCAUCUGCGUCAUGAUUAGGCUCCGGAUGACUAAUAAUGGACGUACUUGUUCUGAUUUGAGGACUUCUUCAUGGUCACAUGUUCUGUUUGCACCAUGCUUAGGAAGGAGCAUGUGUACCAAUGUGAGUGACAGUCAGAUUUCUUGCAUUUCUUUGGGUGGUUUAUUUAAGAGGACUCAAUGUACUGUGAAUAAACAUGUAAUAUAAUCAAAGAUGGUGAAUUUUAUCUAGUGAGGGAUAUUGGAGUCAAAAGAAGUAUUAUAUUGAUAAUUCACAUAUGAAAAACAGGAUAACUCAUGAAACAUUAAUAUAGGAAUUAUUUGGGAUAUCUUUUUGGGUUUUGUGAGUCAUAAGGUUUAAAGUUAUUAUUAGUAAAUUAAUGAAUUAAUCAACAGACAAUGUAGAAAAUAACAGAGAAAAGAAGGGCCAAUCCUGGAUCGAUGAUGACUACUGGUAGCAUGAGUCAUAUACAGUGAAUACAUGUCUGGAACUCUGAGGUCUGUCUCAAAAGAUAUCUAGUCUAUUUCCUGUUUCAAAUGAUCCUACAGACAGAUGGCAAAAAAUAGAAUGUAUAUGUGUUUGGUUUUCAUGUUUAUGAAUUUUUAUUUUACAUUUAUGAUUGGCUCAAUCAGAGAAUCAGUUAAUAAAUAUACAAAUAAAGAUGAAUAAGGGCCGGGCAUGGUGGCUCACACCUGUAAUCUCAGCACUUUGGGAGGCCAACACGGGUAGAUCACUUGAUGACAGGAGAUCGAGACCUACCUGGCCAACGUGGCGAAACCCUAUCUCUACUAAAAAUACAAAAAUUAGCCAGGCAUGGCGGCAUGUGCCUCUAAUCCGAGGACUUGGGUGGCUGAGGCACAUGGAUUGCUUGAACCCGGGUUUCAAAAAUUGCUUGAACCUGGGAGGCUGCAGUGAUCCGAGAUCACGUCACUGCAGCUUGGCAACAGAGCAAGAUUCUGUGUCAAAAAGAAAAAAAUAAAAA
Molecule: long non-coding RNA, 3148 nt
Organism: Homo sapiens (human)
Lineage: Eukaryota; Metazoa; Chordata; Mammalia; Primates; Hominidae
Gene: MEG8
Product: maternally expressed 8, small nucleolar RNA host gene
Source: Ensembl